CCUGGUGGUCAUAGCCUGAUGGCCCCACCCGGUCCCAUUCCGAACCCGGAAGUGAAACAUCAGCACGUCGAUGGUAGUCGGACGACAGGUCCCGCGAGAGUAGAUAGCUGCCAGGG
This 116-nucleotide ribosomal RNA is filed under the name Prevotella sp. RNAcentral also lists the same sequence under 1 other name. Lineage: Bacteria; Pseudomonadati; Bacteroidota; Bacteroidia; Bacteroidales; Prevotellaceae. The record is from RNAcentral.